UCCCGACGGCCCAAGUGGGACUCACAAUUAUUGGGUCUAAAACAUUCGUAGCUGGUUUUGAAAGUUUCUUGUUAAAUUGCGAGGCUUAACCUCGUGGCUGCAAGAAAUACUAUAAGACUAGGGACUGGGAGACGUAACGAGUACAGCAAGGGUAGUAGUAAAAUAUUUUAAUCCUCGUUGGACUAACAAUGGCGAAGGCACGUUACGAGAACAGAUCCGACAGUGAGGAAUGAAGGCCAGGGGCGCAAAAUGG
This 253-nucleotide ribosomal RNA is filed under the name uncultured archaeon. RNAcentral's name for it is "partial 16S ribosomal RNA". It matches the Rfam family "Archaeal small subunit ribosomal RNA", at positions 474 to 727 of the family's 1478-position model. The record is from RNAcentral.